GGAGGUGUGGCUGAGUGGUUUAAGGCGAUAGUCUUGAAAACUAUUGUCCAUGAAAGUGGACCGUGAGUUCGAAUCUCACCGCCUCCG
This 87-nucleotide transfer RNA is filed under the name Minisyncoccota bacterium. Its description in RNAcentral is "tRNA-Ser". It matches the Rfam family "tRNA". From Rfam's summary of the family: Transfer RNA (tRNA) molecules are approximately 80 nucleotides in length. Their secondary structure includes four short double-helical elements and three loops (D, anti-codon, and T loops). The record is from RNAcentral. Lineage: Bacteria; Bacillati; Minisyncoccota.